This 1019-nucleotide ribosomal RNA is filed under the name Lactobacillus sp. Amsbbr6. RNAcentral's name for it is "bacterial SSU rRNA". It matches the Rfam family "Bacterial small subunit ribosomal RNA", at positions 52 to 1039 of the family's 1533-position model. The record is from RNAcentral. Lineage: Bacteria; Bacillati; Bacillota; Bacilli; Lactobacillales; Lactobacillaceae.
UACAUGCAGUCGAGCGAGCAAGUUAAAGGAAUACUUCGGUAGGAAUUUAAUAGCGCGAGCGGCGGAUGGGUGAGUAACACGUGGGCAAUCUACCCUUUAGCUUGGGAUACCACUUGGAAACAGGUGCUAAUACCAAAUAAGAAGUAAGAGCGCAUGCUCAAGCUAUGAAAGGCGGCUUUCGAGCUGUCACUAAAGGAUGAGCCCGCGGUGCAUUAGCUAGUUGGUAAGGUAACGGCUUACCAAGGCAAUGAUGCAUAGCCGAGUUGAGAGACUGAUCGGCCACAUUGGGACUGAGACACGGCCCAAACUCCUACGGGAGGCAGCAGUAGGGAAUCUUCCACAAUGGACGCAAGUCUGAUGGAGCAACGCCGCGUGAGUGAAGAAGGUUUUCGGAUCGUAAAGCUCUGUUGUUGGUGAAGAAGGACAUGGAUAGUAACUGAUCUAUGUUUGACGGUAAUCAACCAGAAAGUCACGGCUAACUACGUGCCAGCAGCCGCGGUAAUACGUAGGUGGCAAGCGUUGUCCGGAUUUAUUGGGCGUAAAGCGAACGCAGGCGGGAGAACAAGUCAGCUGUGAAAGCCCUCGGCUUAACCGAGGAACGGCAACUGAAACUGUUUUUCUUGAGUGCAGAAGAGGAGAGUGGAACUCCAUGUGUAGCGGUGAAAUGCGUAGAUAUAUGGAAGAACACCAGUGGCGAAGGCGGCUCUCUGGUCUGUAACUGACGCUGAGGUUCGAAAGCAUGGGUAGCGAACAGGAUUAGAUACCCUGGUAGUCCAUGCCGUAAACGAUGAGUGCUAAGUGUUGGGAGGUUUCCGCCUCUCAGUGCUGCAGCUAACGCAUUAAGCACUCCGCCUGGGGAGUACGACCGCAAGGUUAAAACUCAAAGGAAUUGACGGGGGCCCGCACAAGCGGUGGAGCAUGUGGUUUAAUUCGAAGCAACGCGAAGAACCUUACCAGGUCUUGACAUCUAGUGCAAACCCUAGAGAUAGGGUGUUUCCUUCGGGAACACUAAGACAGGU